GCUUGUCUCAAAGAUUAAGCCAUGCAUGUCUAAGCAGAAGCCGAACAACGGUAAAGUCGCGAAUGGCUCAUUACAACAGCCGUCGUUUCUUGGAUCUCUUAUUUUACUUGGAUAACUGUGGUAAUUCUAGAGCUAAUACACGCAUUAAAGCUCCGACCUUACGGAACGAGCGCAUUUAUUAGAACAAAACCAAUCGGGUUUCGGCCCGUCCGUUGGUGACUCUGAAUAACUACGCCGAUCGCACGGUCUCGUACCGGCGACGUAUCUUUCAAGUGUCUGCCUUAUCAACUUUCGAUGGUAGUUUAUGUGUCCACCAUGGUUGUAACGGGUAACGGAGAAUAAGGGUUCGACUCUGGGAAGGGAGCCUGAGAAACGGCUACCACAUCCAAGGAAGGCAGCAGGC
RNAcentral lists this ribosomal RNA (403 nucleotides) under Nematoda environmental sample. RNAcentral describes it as "SSU rRNA". It matches the Rfam family "Eukaryotic small subunit ribosomal RNA", at positions 30 to 433 of the family's 1831-position model. The record is from RNAcentral. Lineage: Eukaryota; Metazoa; Nematoda.